GCUGGCGGCGUGGAUAAGACAUGCAAGUCGGACGAGAUUUUUCGUUGUAGCAAUACGAUGGAAAAUUUAGUGGCGAACGGGUGCUUAACACGUGGGCAACCUGCCAGGAAGUGGGGGACAGCUCGCCGAAAGGCGGAUUAAUACCGCAUGUGAUUAGAGAGGACAUCCUUUCGAAAUUAAAGUCGGGGCAACCUGACGCUUCUUGUGGGGCCCGCGGCCUAUCAGCUAGUUGGUGAGGUAACGGCUCACCAAGGCUUUGACGGGUAGCUGGUCUGAGAGGACGACCAGCCACACUGGGACUGAGACACGGCCCAGACACCUACGGGUGGCAGCAGUCGAGAAUUUUUGACAAUGGGGGAAACCCUGAUCGAGCGACGCCGCGUGGAGGAUGAAGGUCUUCGGAUUGUAAACUCCUGUCAUUGGGGAACAAUGCACAGGUAUUAACUGUAUUUGUGUUGAUAGUACCCGAAGAGGAAGAGACGGCUAACUCUGUGCCAGCAGCCGCGGUAAUACAGAGGUCUCAAGCGUUGUUCGGAUUCAUUGGGCGUAAAGGGUGCGUAGGCGGCGCGGUAAGUCGGGUGUGAAAUCUCGGAGCU
Molecule: ribosomal RNA, 596 nt
Filed under: uncultured soil bacterium
Lineage: Bacteria
Description: bacterial SSU rRNA
Rfam family: Bacterial small subunit ribosomal RNA
Source: RNAcentral